Molecule: long non-coding RNA, 862 nt
Organism: Lotus japonicus
Lineage: Eukaryota; Viridiplantae; Streptophyta; Magnoliopsida; Fabales; Fabaceae
Exons: 2
Source: RefSeq, a predicted model, not a curated record
GGUGCAUGCUUGGGUGCCCAAAAAUUCCAGUGAGUGUAUGCUACAGGAGUGAGGUGGACCAAUAAUAUAUGAGUACUUAAUAUAACAAGUGCUUACUAGAUUUUAUUUUACACAAUUCGUGAUAUGACCCCAGCUGAAUUAUAGCUUACUAAAUUUGCCCUCAACCUUUUUAAUAAUUAUGUAUGUAUGUUUUACCACAGUUAAUCGAACUUUUUACCAUGUAUUGAGAUUAGGGUGGCUGAAUCAAAUUCCUGGGGUUGUGUUCGUUCUUCCUUCAUUCCUUGUGUUUGCCGUUCAGCCGUUUCUGUCCUUGUCUCCGUCGUUUAGCGUCGUGUUCCCUCUCCUUCCAUAUCUGGUCCACCCUCAGAUGGGCCUCCAUCUCUACGGAAUAUCAGAAGGGCACGCACCAUCGUGAGGGAAGAGAUUGAAUAUUAAUCUGUUCUCGUGAAGUUUGAUCAGGAGUUGCAGCGUGAGGUUGAGAUUUAUCGGGUCAGGUUCGACAUCUACAUGGUGUUCUCCAUUAGUUUGCUCAACCUUCUCCUGGAAUUGAUCCAUCAAAGGAGGAAGUUAGGCUUUUUGAAUCACAAGUUAUUCAUAAUAAAGGGUCUGAGUAAACAGUUUCAUCAUGUAUUGGAGAUUAGUCUCAUCAUGUAUUGGAGAUUGAUUAUGUAUGAUUGUGUAUUGAAUUGGCAAUAGCUUCAGAUGGACUUAGGAAAUUGAUUAUACCUUACACCCAAUUGAUUUGUUAAGAGUUGAUUUCUUCUCCUUAGGAAAGUGCAUGUGAUGUCACAUAUGGUUCAUACAGAUGAUUUCAACCUGGAUAAGGUUUCUCUUCAAUUUGAAAGCCUUCAUCAUUGAGUUC